This 2919-nucleotide long non-coding RNA is filed under the name Homo sapiens (human). RNAcentral's name for it is "HSALNT0102671". The record is from RNAcentral. Lineage: Eukaryota; Metazoa; Chordata; Mammalia; Primates; Hominidae.
UUUUUCACAGUGUAGACUUUGGUACCUUUUGAAUUUUCAACUAUAUGAAGGCUGCAUCUGGGAAAUGGGUCUGGGUAGGGAAGAGGACUGUUGCUUUUUUAUUGAGUGAAAGUAGCCAGACACAAAAAUUUAGUGUUAUAUUUUCUACAAUGUACAUGAUAAACAUACUAAAAGAAAAGACAAGAUGGGUCAGAUUACAGAGGGCCUUAUAAAAGACCAGGCAUGGAAAUUUAGAGUUGAUUAAGGCCUGAAAAUGGCACUGGCAAUGGUGAUAAAAGGAUGAAUUUAAACACUUAAUAGAAAAAAUCUAGAAAGUAAAAUAUCUGGAUAGAAAAUGAUAGAGGUAAGUGAAGAGGACACCCAAGUUUUGGUGCGAGUAACUGUUACGGACUGAAUUGUGCCUCCCCAAAAUUCAUAUAUUGAAAUCCUAAUCCCUAGUAUGCUUCAGAAUGUGCCUGUAUUUAGAGAUAAGACCUUUAAAGAGAUGAUUAAGGUUAAAAAAUUAUUAGAGAGGUGAAAAAGUUAUUAGAGUGGUCUCCAAUCCAAUAUGAUUAAUGUCCUUAUAAGAAAAGGGAGAGAAACCAGAAAUACAUGCACAAAAGAAAGGCCAUUGCUGGGUACAGUGGUGCAUGCCUGUAAUCCCAACAACUUGAGAAGCUAAAGCAGGAGCAUUGCUUGAGCUCGGGAGUCUGAGGCAGCAGAAUGAGACCCUGCCUCUGGUGCAAAAAAUAAAAUAAAAUAAAAGCCAUGUGAGGACCCACCAAGAAGAUGGCCAUCUGCAAGCCAAGGAGAGAGAGUUCAGGAGAAACCAAACCUGCCAGAAUCUUGAUCUUGGACUUCUGACCCAGAGAACUGUGAGAAAAUAAAUUUCUGUUGUUUUAGCUAUCCAGUCUGUGGUGUUUUGUUAUGGCAGCCUGAGCAGACUAAGACAGUGACUAAGAAAGUGACCAUGCCAUGACCACAGGCAGGAAAGUGGGAAAGGGAGCUAGUUUGAGAAGGGAGGUGAUUUUGAAUUGCAGCACCAGCCAGGCAUAGUGGUUCAUGCCUAUAACCCCAGCACUUUGGAAAGCCAAGCCUAGAGCCCAGCCAUGGGAGGUUUGCCUGAACCCAGGAGUUCAAGACCAGCCUGGGCAAUAUAGUGAGAUGCCAUCUCUACAAAAAACUCAUAAAUUAUCUGGGCAUGGUGGCUUGCAUCUGUAGUCCCAGCUACUUGGGAAGCUGAGGCAGAAGGAUUGCUUGAGCCCAGGAGCUUCAGGCUACAGUUAUCUAUCACAGCAGCACUGCACUCCAGUCUGGGUGACAGACUGAGACCUCAUCUCAAAAAUAAAUAUGUAAAUAAGGCCAGGCAUGGUGGCUCAUGGCUGUAAUCCCAGCACUUUGGCAGGCCAAGGCAGGCAGAUUACUUUAGGUCAGGAGUUCAAGACUAGCUUGGCCAACAUGGCAAAACCCCAUCUCUACUAAAAAUACAAAAAAAUUAGCUUGGUGUGGUGGUGCACGCCUGUAAUCCCAGCUACUCAGGAGACUGAGGUGGGAGGAUCAUUUGAGCCUGGGAGGCAGAGGUUGCAGUGAGCUGAUAUCUGACCACUGCCCUCCAGCCUGGGCUACAGUGUGAGACUCUGUCUCAAAAAAUAAAAAAUUAAAAUAAAUAAAUAAAUACAUAUAUACAUAAAAUAAAAUUUAAAAUUGCAGCCCCAGUGAAAUAUGGCGGCUCACGCCUGUAAUCCCAGCACUUUGGAAGGCCAAGGAGGGCAGAUUACCUGCAGUCAGGAGUUCGAGACCACCUGGCCAACAUGGUAAAACCCCAUCUCUACUAAAAAUACAAAAAUUAGCCAGGCAUGGUGGCACAUGCCUGUAAUUCCAGCUACUCGGGAGGCUGAGGAAGGAGAAUUGCUUGAACCUGGGAGGCAGAGGUUGCAGUGAGCUGAGACAGAGCCACUGCACUCCAGCCUGGGAAACAGAGCAAGACUCCAUCUCAAAAAAAAAAAAAAAAAAGAAAAGAAAGAAAGAAAGAAAGAAAAGAAAAAGAAAACAGAACAGGCCUUUUUAACCGCAGAGGUAAUGGCUACAGGGAAGAUAAUGUGACUUUGGAGUGAAAGGAUAGAGAGAAUAGGGAGCAAGGGAAUACGUAGCAAAGGAAUGGCAAGAGAAAUAAAAGGCAAUAAAAAGGGAAGGAACUGCUAGCAAAUAGGACAGAAGCCAAGGAAGCCGAACAUUUGAGAUACGUGAAAUUCCGGUAAUAAGGGACAAAAUGGUUAAGCUCUUGAUUUGAGACUAAGGAUGGAGAUGGGGCCAUUUAGAAUGCCCAGAUUCAAGAGGCAAGUAGAAAGGAGAGUUGACGAAGGGUCCCGAGCAGGGACAGCUGGAAAAGCAGAGCUGGUGGAACUUGGAGAGCUGUGGCUUCCUGUGGUUGUUGAAGGUGACGGUCAUCUUGAUCCUGGCUGGGCAGUGCUGGAGCAGCUUCCCCACCUGGGGAUCUCACUGGCUAUCCUUCUCCUCAACUUGGAUGUUUAGUUGUCUUUUUAUUUCUUUGUUUAUUGUUGCUAUUGGCUUUGUUUGUGGGUUUAUUUCUUAUUUUGGGACUUUUAGCACAUAAAGUUGGAGAUAAUGAAUGGGAACAGAAUGGGAAAGAGUGGAUAUAAUGAUACACCACAUACCCAUCACCUACUUUCAAUAAUUACCUACACUUUCCCAGUCUUCUUCCAUGUAUUCCCCAUACUCUAUUGUCUAUUUUUCUGGAGAAUUUUGAAGUAAAUCUAAUAUAUCAUACCAUUUUACUUGUAAUUAUUUUAGAGGAUAUCUCUAAAGAUAAGGGUUUUUCUCAUUUAAAAAACACAGCCACAAGUCAUCACCACACCUAAAAAAUUUUAUUGGGGUAAAGUUUUUUUGUUUUUUUUUUUUGAGACGGAGUCUUGCUCUAUU